Molecule: transfer RNA, 74 nt
Filed under: Bacteroidota bacterium
Lineage: Bacteria; Pseudomonadati; Bacteroidota
Also listed under: 1 other name
Description: Bacteroidetes bacterium tRNA-Pro
Rfam family: tRNA
About the family: Transfer RNA (tRNA) molecules are approximately 80 nucleotides in length. Their secondary structure includes four short double-helical elements and three loops (D, anti-codon, and T loops).
Source: RNAcentral
CGGGAAGUAGCGCAGCCCGGUAGCGCACAUGGCUGGGGGUCAUGUGGUCGCAGGUUCGAAUCCUGUCUUCCCGA